GACGAACGCUGGCGGCGUGCUUAACACAUGCAAGUCGAACGGAAAGGCCCUGCUUUUGUGGGGUGCUCGAGUGGCGAGCGGGUGAGUAACACGUGAGUAACCUGCCCUUGGCUUUGGGAUAACUUCAGGAAACUGGGGCUAAUACCGGAUAGGAGCUCCUGCUGCAUGGUGGGGGUUGGAAAGUUUCGGCGGUUGGGGAUGGACUCGCGGCUUAUCAGCUUGUUGGUGGGGUAGUGGCUUACCAAGGCUUUGACGGGUAGCCGGCCUGAGAGGGUGACCGGCCACAUUGGGACUGAGAUACGGCCCAGACUCCUACGGGAGGCAGCAGUGGGGAAUAUUGCACAAUGGGCGGAAGCCUGAUGCAGAAACGCCGCGUGCGGGAUGACGGCCUUCGGGUUGUAAACCGCUUUCGCCUGUGACGAAGCGUGAGUGACGGUAAUGGGUAAAGAAGCACCGGCUAACUACGUG
Molecule: ribosomal RNA, 468 nt
Filed under: uncultured bacterium
Lineage: Bacteria
Description: partial 16S ribosomal RNA
Rfam family: Bacterial small subunit ribosomal RNA
Source: RNAcentral